This 240-nucleotide long non-coding RNA is filed under the name Eucalyptus grandis. RNAcentral's name for it is "long non-coding RNA (EGRA_LNC000476)". Lineage: Eukaryota; Viridiplantae; Streptophyta; Magnoliopsida; Myrtales; Myrtaceae. The record is from RNAcentral.
ACAUAAUCUGUAACAUAACACAUUGGUACGAACACAACAAUAUUCCAGAAUUACUCCCUAACUUUUAAAGAAGAUUUCAUGUGGCUAAUGAUAUCGGAUCAGGGUGUGUUAUAGCUCGUUGGAAAGCUAGUCGAACCAUCUUCAACUCUCAUGAAGGCAUCAAACACAGAAAACCACAGCAACCAGCUCAUAUAAGGUCAUUUGUACAAAAGGUCAUCCAAAACAGAGAACCAAUCAGAA